Molecule: non-coding RNA, 131 nt
Organism: Anoplopoma fimbria (sablefish)
Lineage: Eukaryota; Metazoa; Chordata; Actinopteri; Perciformes; Anoplopomatidae
Source: RefSeq, a predicted model, not a curated record
GUGGUGGUCUUUAUGGUUCCAACACUGAGCAGUGUGCUGCAACCGGUGCGACUCCACACAGAGUGAGGCUGGUUCCUACCGACGGGAGCCUGUGAAGGUGUUGGGCUUCCUGUGCGAUGGUUCCAUACAUC